UACGAAGGGGGCUAGCGUUGUUCGGAAUUACUGGGCGUAAAGCGCACGUAGGCGGAUACUUAAGUCAGGGGUGAAAUCCCGGGGCUCAACCCCGGAACUGCCUUUGAUACUGCGAAUCUCGAGUCCGGAAGAGGUGAGUGGAAUUCCUAGUGUAGAGGUGAAAUUCGUAGAUAUUAGGAAGAACACCAGUGGCGAAGGCGGCUCACUGGUCCGGUACUGACGCUGAGGUGCGAAAGCGUGGGGAGCAAACAGG
RNAcentral lists this ribosomal RNA (253 nucleotides) under uncultured bacterium. RNAcentral describes it as "partial 16S ribosomal RNA". It matches the Rfam family "Bacterial small subunit ribosomal RNA", at positions 524 to 776 of the family's 1533-position model. The record is from RNAcentral.